UACCAGCACCCCGAGUGGUCGGGACGAUUAUUGGGCCUAAAGCAUCCGUAGCCGGUUUUACAAGUCCUCCGUUAAAUCCAGCUGCUUAACAGUUGGGCUGCGGAGGAUACUAUAAGACUAGGAGGCAGGAGAGGCAAGCGGUACUCAGUGGGUAGGGGUAAAAUCCGUUGAUCCAUUGAAGACCACCAGUGGCGAAGGCGGCUUGCCAGAAUGCGCUCGACGGUGAGGGAUGAAAGCUGGGGGAGCAAACCGG
Molecule: ribosomal RNA, 253 nt
Filed under: uncultured bacterium
Lineage: Bacteria
Description: partial 16S ribosomal RNA
Rfam family: Archaeal small subunit ribosomal RNA
Source: RNAcentral